AGAUAUGGAGCAUGAUAAGAAGGGGAGAUGCCUUGGCGGAGGAGAGGAAGAGGAGGCAGAGCAGUACGAUGGUUGAGGUGUUGCCGCCAGACAAUCUGGACGGCUUCAGCCACCACUGCGACGAACUCCAUUCCCAUCUUCGUAAGCUCUAUACACAGCUCUAUCCUUUUUAUCAUCAUGAUUUUUUCUUCUUGUUUUUAUAGAUAUUUUUUGUUUUAGUUUCUCGCUUCGUCUUCUUUGUAUUUAUAUCAACAAACUUUAGAUUCAUCCCCACUACAAAUAUCCAAAAGCGUUUAUAAUUAACGUUUAUUUGAUAGAGACAUAAGCACAAGAAAUUAAAAAAAACGUUUUUUGAACAAAAAUAAAUAAAACUCGUUUACCUGUGAAAUCAAGAAAAAAAAAACACACACAGAAUAUAGUUUUAUUUUUCUCUUUUCAUUUAUCUUUGCUUCAAAGUUGUCUUGACUUUUGAGAAUUCAUCAUUGAUUGCUACCCGAGAAGAACUUCUCAUUGGUGUUUUCUUCUAGAAAUGACUUCAAACUUCUUUAACAGAAAGAACAGAGUUUUUUUUUUCUUAAUGGGAAUUAUUUCACCCAGUAAUAGUUUGAUAUGGAUUUUGCCUCUUUGGUAUUGACAAAUUCUAAUAUGAAAAUAACAAAAAGACCAUUUAAAAUUAAAAAUAUAACAAAAGACAAAUAAGAGAUAUAUUGAUCACACGAUCAAUUUUUGUUUAUUUGUAAAACCCGGUGAAUAUUUAAGUUACCAGAUCAUUAUUUGAAUGACUGGUGCAAAUGUUACAUACAUCUAACAUAUCUAUCUAUAUAUUAUAUGUAGCUAUCAGAAAAUUGUUCGCCAGCUGUAUGAAAUUCCAUGAAAUGUAAAAGAAAAUGAUAUUUUUUUUUGUAUCGAUUUUUUCAAAAUAAAAAUCGUUUUCACAUUUUCAGCUCAAAUAUCUGAAAUUUCUUUCUUGAUCUUAACAUAUUCAGACUAUUUUUUAUUUUAUUUUUGAAACCUGUUAAAGAAUAAAAAACAACCCAUGAAGUUGUUUUAUUUUUUUAUUUUGUUUUGGUCGUUACUCGUCAAUCCAUGAAGAGAAGAAUAACAAAAGAGAUAAGAUAGAACAAGAUUUUCAAAAUGUGUUGGUUGAGCAAGACGAAAUUUCAAAUAGUUAUUUCUAUUAAAUUAAAAAAAUUCGUAAAAUGACAAAUAUACAUUAAUCAUUUUGGGGGGUGGGGUAAAAUAAACGUUAAUCGGAUCGGCUUUUGGUCGCUUCGAAAAGACGCGCUCUUUUUAAACUACAGUAGUCGAGAGAGGUGUGUGCAUUUGGAUAAUCACACACCCUAAUUAUUUACAAUAACAUUAUGUUAUAACCCUUGUUUUGGUCGUCAACAAUGCAUUAACUUGUAAGUUCUAAAUACUGACGUUAAUUCACUAUGCAUAUAAAUACGACAUAUCUAUCAUAUAUGUCCAACUAUGUAUAUUCGAUGUAUCCCAUUCUAUGAUUCAAAUAAGUGCGUUUAGCAAAAAAAAUCAACUAGGUGGUUUUAAAUAACUAAAAACAAUCAAAAACACAUGACACACAUCUUACGGAUAUUGGUAUAAAUUAGAUAAAAUGUGAAUGCCCACCGGAGAAAAUCAAUUAAUCUGACUAGUAACACAUAUUUGCAUUAUUCCAAUUCAAUCACAUUAACUUUAAAAUAUUUUUCUUUUCAAAAAAAAAAAAAAAACUUUAAAAUAUUUUUCUCGUCUGGGUGAGUUUUUUUUUUCUUUCAGGUGCAAAGCUCCCAUUUCUUCUCAGCCAUUACAGCUUCUGCUUCAUCCCGACUUUCAUUUGGCGUGGUUGCGGUCUUCCAUUCGCGUGUGAAGCUCAGGUACGCCCUUAGUUAUUUCGCCACGCUUCAGAGUCUACAGUUACUCGACUAGGAGGAGAGUGAGACUUAGUUCCCUUACCGGAUUAACCAGGGCGAUGGUGAUGAGGGAAGGAUCCAGAGUUGCGCCCACAACUUGGUCGUGUGUCCGAUGACUCAAAGCUACAAUCCCAAUGGUUGUACCGUUUUUGAUUAAAUUUUAGUUCGAUUGUAGAUGUAAUGAUGCCCA
RNAcentral lists this long non-coding RNA (2097 nucleotides) under Brassica napus (rape). RNAcentral describes it as "long non-coding RNA (BNAP_LNC025523)". The record is from RNAcentral. Lineage: Eukaryota; Viridiplantae; Streptophyta; Magnoliopsida; Brassicales; Brassicaceae.